CCCGCCUUGGCCUCCCAAAGUGCUGGGAUUAUAGGCAUGAGCCACUGUGCCCAGCCCCAUGACAUGCAGUUCUGAUUUUGUUUGAGAGCACUCCUGCUUGGAGACUGAAGAUUGUUGCUUAGAACUUCAACUGCAGAGCAUUCAGUUCUUCUGGAAAUAAUACUGCAUUCAUUUCCUGGGGUCACUGUCACAAAGUCUCACAAACUGAGUGUCUUGAAAACAGAAUUUUAUUGUCUCAUACUUCUGGAGGCUGGAAGUCUAAGAUCAUGGUGUCGGUACUGGCAGGGUUGGUUCCUUCUGAGGCUGUGAGAGAGAAUCUGUUCUGCCACUCUCUGAGCUUCUGGUAGCCUCAGGCAUCCCUUGGUUUGUAGAUGGCCAUCUCCUCUGUGGGUUCUCCCUCUGUACUUUCCCUCUGUAUCUUCCUGUCCCUGUACCUGUCUCUGUGUUCAAAGUCUCCCUUUUGCUAAGGACACAGUCAUACCGGAUUAGGGCUCUCCCUAAUGACCUCAACUUGUGCAUCUGCAAAGACUUUAUUUCAAGUAAGGUCACAGUCACAGAUACUGUGAAUUAGGACUUCAAUAUCAUCUUGGGGGACUCAUUUCAGCCCAUAACAAAUCUUUUCUGCCACCCGAAAGAAGUCAGGACUAACCAGAAAGAGUGAAAACCCUUCACAAGAGGAAAUUUCUUAAUGUUUCUGAAAAAAGAGAUACAUCCUACCUUAAACCUAUAUAGGAUUUUACAGACUAUAAAACAUAUUCAUGAUCUUCAUAGUAACCCUUCAAAUCUACUAAAUACAUUUAUAGUCAGAACGUUUAAUUAAACACUUUGAGGUCACAUUCACAAGGGAGGGUCUACGGCUGAACUUUAGUCAUACAAUCCCAUUCAUGUUUACUGCUCUCCCCAAAUAAAUGAGCAGUCCAGUCUGACUCAUCACAGACCAGGGGGCACGAUGGCUGAGAAACCGCAGACUAACCUAGCUGACAUCACAAAGAACCUGAAAGGUCUGGUCACAAGAGAGCAAAGGAAGGUGAAUAAAUCCUCCUUCAGAAAGUGGCGCAUUCAGGAUGAGAUGCUGAGGAAGAAAGGAAAACACAGUGCUACCACUUGUGAAGAUCACUGAUUAAUACAGACACUGAAGACUACCUUUUUUUUGAUUAGGAUGGAAAGAGGUCUCUUGAAUUUACCAGGAUAUACUGCUAAUCUGGCAACACCAAGAAGCACUGAGCACCUAUCUUCUUUAAAAUGCCUAGGGAAUUCUUGCAGGAAGUAACUCUAGAAUGAGACCUGAAGUUGUCAAGUAGAAAAGGGGUGCGGCUGAAGAACUGCUGUAGAGGCAGACAGAACAGCUGUGCAGGAAGUGAGAGCAAGAUCUUGACAAAUAUUAUACAUAAUCUGGGGAUGAAUGAAUUUUUCCAUGCUUGAAAGGAACACCUUUGGAAACCCCUGACCAGGGUAAAGCAAGGAUCCCAACGCACUGCGAACAGCUGGGUGACGGAGUACCGUUUACAUCUUCACAGAAGUUUUUCACCAUUUCUCCAAUCAUUCUGUGUUUUCCAGCAAGUUUCUAUAGAAGUAUGCUCCAACUCACUCCGUCGUAAGCACGGCUUCUCUCCUGAGUAUGCUAAACUCCCCAAACGCAGCAACAACACAGCGUUCCGAUCUUUGGAAUUAAUAAGCAGUGAAACGUUUGAAACUGAACAAAAAUUUUUACAGCUACUGAACUUCCUGUAAGGAAGGCAUGCUUAGUAAACUGCACUCUUUCUGUAAUACUGUGAAAUGGGAGGUAUUUACGUUGGAGGGCUGAUUGCUGGUUCUUCAUAUGAUGUUUUGAAGUGGAGGUUUCUAUUAAUGAUGCCUCUGUUGAGCACAUCUGGUAUAUUUCUGAAGAGAGGCUUUGUAAACACAUUGGGCAGGCCCAGCUUGUAAGUGACAAGGCAGCACAGUGAGGGUGCAGUGGAGAAAUCCAAGGAAAUAAGGGAUUUGUAAGAAACUAGGACCAGCUUAAGUUAUAAUGAAAGGGCAUCGUGUUAGGAAAAGAACAUUUCCAUCCUUCAGUCACCAUCAGUUAAAGCAGACGUACAUGGAAACCAGAAUGAUCUCUUUACAAGGUUAUUAAAGAUUGUUUUUAUUACCAUAAAUCACUCCUCAUUGGUCUCCUAUCUCCAAUUUGAUGUUUAGAAUCUAAUCUGGAAUUCUUAUGAUGCCCUAGGAGGCCCCUGAUGCUCUGCCUCCUGGUCUGUUUCUAUGUCUCUGUCCCCUAUAUAUAUAUUU
RNAcentral lists this long non-coding RNA (2271 nucleotides) under Homo sapiens (human). Its description in RNAcentral is "HSALNT0356339". The record is from RNAcentral. Lineage: Eukaryota; Metazoa; Chordata; Mammalia; Primates; Hominidae.